AGCACAAGAACAAGAGAUCUAACAGAAUCCAUAUUGUGUGCCAUCAGUGACAAUACAUCUCAAAUAAAAGAAAGCUAUUCAGCAGGAACAACUAUGAGAGCUGCAACAUCUCUUGAUUAAGCCUGAGGAAGGUAUAAAUAAUGUUGAUGAUGAUGUAGACCAUGAUAACAAAAGUCCAGUAACUGUCACCAGAGGGAAAUAUGCCACUAUAAUUGGGCUGAUGUGCACCCACAGGUAUUGAAAACAAUUACCCCACUGAGCAAAGCACCCACUGCCUAGCAGUCUCCCAUAUCACUUGAGGCCAUAUAUGCAGCUUCUUAAAGAAAGGAGAAAAUGGCCUAACAACAACUUCUGCAUUUCUAUUUUAAAUUAAUGUAAAAGGUAAACAGGACAAACCAUAGCACCUUUAGUGCAAUAGCAUUUUGUCCUACUAUUUUCCUCCUUCUCCAUAACUCAGAAGCCCCCACUGUGCACUUACGACUCACCAAGCAAACCUUGUGCUUUCUGUAAGGUGAAGCACUUAUGUACCAUGGUAUUUUUUAAAUUUUAUAAGGGACUUGAGAUUUUUAAAGCUUUUAUUAGGGUUUUAGAAGAGUAUUCCUUACUAGACUAUACAGGUGUUGUGUUUCACCCAAUUAAAUUUUUCCCAGAAGGCUCAUCAUUUUUAUUGCAUGAAAUUCUACAUUACAUUUAUUUUUUAGAAAGAUGUAUAUGGCACUGUAGGAGAAACAACUAUAUUAUCUCAUUUAAUCCUCAUCUUACCCCACUUUACAAGAGAAAACAUUGGGUAUGGUUUUCAUUGAACAUCAAAAUCUCAUAUCUUGUACAUAUUCUCCCAAACUGUGUUCCCCGUCUUUCUUCUAAUGUAAUGUUAGCUGAGUUUCUCCACCAUUCAAAAGCCUUUUCCUAGAACAUCGUGAUGAGAGAAAUCACAAAGCGGUAGCUCCCAGCCCUGCUAAAAGGAGGAAACGUGCUUGGCAUCCAAAUGGAAACUGGUUUCUAGUACUUAGGUCAAAAGUUCAUGUACACACACACACACACACACACACACACACACAGAGCGUUCUCAAGAGAAGUUCUUAAGGCCAAAAGAAAAAACAGAGAGACUACCAACACAUAGAUCCUAGAGUGAAAAAAUCCAACUGGCAAUCUGAACUAAUGUAGGCAGUUUCCCCAAAGCGACUGAUAACUAUUGAGUUACUUUCCCCAGGGUCAGCUGCAGAGAAGGAAUUAGAAAGACCAAGUUGGGGCCCUUCUCUACUCCUUUUAAAUACCGCGUUUCUGUUGCUUGGAACUUUCAUAUUUCUGCAUCAGACUGUUCUCCUUGCUAUAUUUCACACUCCCUCUGGCUUCACAUCAGAAGAACAAGGUCAGUAUUUGUUUGUAAUGGAAUAGGGGUGUGAUGGUGAAUAAUACAGAUGUAUAUUUUACUUGGAACAAAUGCAGUUCACCUUUCUUCUCUGAGUAAACUGAGAUCUUGAGAGAGGCUGCACUGCAUAAGCCUUCAAAAGGAGGCCCUCCUUGGGUAUUCCAAACAUUUUAUCAAGCCACAAGAUCCUCUUGUUUCAAGCAAGAAGCACCCUGUUUCUAAAGACCUCCACGAAGUCCUACAAAAAGUGUUAAAACACCAGCUCUCCUGCCAGUGGUCUGCUGGGAUUGUUGAAUUUGCGUCGGCCCCACCUCCAUUAAUCAAUCCCACUCCAGCUCCUCA
This 1711-nucleotide long non-coding RNA is filed under the name Homo sapiens (human). RNAcentral describes it as "HSALNT0109425". The record is from RNAcentral. Lineage: Eukaryota; Metazoa; Chordata; Mammalia; Primates; Hominidae.